UAAAACCUGUACAGGUCAAGAAGUGACGCA
RNAcentral lists this non-coding RNA (30 nucleotides) under Homo sapiens (human). The record is from RNAcentral. Lineage: Eukaryota; Metazoa; Chordata; Mammalia; Primates; Hominidae.